CCCAGACUCCUACGGGAGGCAGCAGUGGGGGAUAUUGCACAAUAGGGGGAACCCUGAUGCAGCGACGCCGCGUGGGUGAAGAAGCGCCUCGGCGCGUAAAGCCCUGUCAGCAGGGAAGAAAAUGACGGUACCUGAAGAAGAAGCCCCGGCUAACUACGUGCCAGCAGCCGCGGUAAUACGUAGGGGGCAAGCGUUAUCCGGAUUUACUGGGUGUAAAGGGGGCGCAGACGGCGAUGCAAGCCAGGAGUGAAAGGGCGGGGGGCAACCCCGGGACUGCUCUUGGGACUGCGUGGCUGGAGUGCAGGAGGGGCAGGCGGAAUUCCUGGUGUAGCGGUGAAAUGCGUAGAUAUCAGGAGGAGCACCGGUGGCGAAGGCGG
This 377-nucleotide ribosomal RNA is filed under the name uncultured bacterium. RNAcentral's name for it is "bacterial SSU rRNA". It matches the Rfam family "Bacterial small subunit ribosomal RNA", at positions 330 to 724 of the family's 1533-position model. The record is from RNAcentral.